GCCGCGGUGGCGGAACUGGUAUACGCGCACGACUCAAAAUCGUGUGGGGAAACCCAUGCGGGUUCGAUUCCCGCCCGCGGCACCA
RNAcentral lists this transfer RNA (85 nucleotides) under Candidatus Uhrbacteria bacterium CG_4_10_14_0_2_um_filter_41_7. Its description in RNAcentral is "tRNA-Leu". It matches the Rfam family "tRNA". From Rfam's summary of the family: Transfer RNA (tRNA) molecules are approximately 80 nucleotides in length. Their secondary structure includes four short double-helical elements and three loops (D, anti-codon, and T loops). Lineage: Bacteria; Candidatus Uhriibacteriota. The record is from RNAcentral. RNAcentral also lists the same sequence under 2 other names.